Molecule: long non-coding RNA, 476 nt
Filed under: Olea europaea (common olive)
Lineage: Eukaryota; Viridiplantae; Streptophyta; Magnoliopsida; Lamiales; Oleaceae
Description: long non-coding RNA (OEUR_LNC010383)
Source: RNAcentral
AUUUUACAAGAUAUUGAUGUGAUCGAAAGGACCUUCAAGCAACACCAAAGAGAACAAAGAAGAAAGAGGGUAAUGGUUGAGAAUCAAGAUCAUGUUCAAAAUGCAUUGCAGAAUGUAGCACUUCCGGUUCAACAACCACCUCCAGCUCAACCAAUAUUGGUUAGAGAUUAUGUGAAUCCAGUACUUGCACCGACUUAACCUCCUAUUGUCUAUCCACCUUUUGGACAAGCCAACUUUCACAUCCAACCAGAUGUCAUAAAUCUCUUCCAGAAUCAUCAAGACAUCAGGUUCGGUGGGAAAGCUAUGGAAAAUCCACACGAACAUAUUCAAGCUUUUAUCAUACUUUGCGAUGUAAUUGUUGGAAAUUUAAAGCAAUGAAGAGAAGAAAAUUGGUAAUACCAAAGAGGAAAAGAAUAUAGAUUUGAUUAGAGGCUUGAACACGAAAAUGAUAAUGCUAUCCUCAAACGUUAUUUGCC